RNAcentral lists this ribosomal RNA (492 nucleotides) under uncultured bacterium. RNAcentral's name for it is "partial 16S ribosomal RNA". It matches the Rfam family "Bacterial small subunit ribosomal RNA", at positions 29 to 507 of the family's 1533-position model. The record is from RNAcentral.
AGUGAACGCUGGCGGUAGGCCUAACACAUGCAAGUCGAACGGCAGCACAGUAAGAGCUUGCUCUUACGGGUGGCGAGUGGCGGACGGGUGAGGAAUACAUCGGAAUCUACUUUUUCGUGGGGGAUAACGUAGGGAAACUUACGCUAAUACCGCAUACGACCUACGGGUGAAAGCAGGGGAUCUUCGGACCUUGCGCGAUUGAAUGAGCCGAUGUCGGAUUAGCUAGUUGGCGGGGUAAAGGCCCACCAAGGCGACGAUCCGUAGCUGGUCUGAGAGGAUGAUCAGCCACACUGGAACUGAGACACGGUCCAGACUCCCACGGGAGGCAGCAGUGGGGAAUAUUGGACAAUGGGCGCAAGCCUGAUCCAGCCAUACCGCGUGGGUGAAGAAGGCCUUCGGGUUGUAAAGCCCUUUUGUUGGGAAAGAAAAGCGGCAGGUUAAUACCCCGCUGUUCCGACGGUACCCAAAGAAUAAGCACCGGCUAACUUCGUG